GGAUGAACGCUGGCGGCGUGCCUAACACAUGCAAGUCGAACGGAGAUUAGACGCUGACGAGACUUCGGUCAAAUCUGUUUAAUCUUAGUGGCGGACGGGUGAGUAACGCGUGGGCAACCUGCCUCAUACUGGGGGAUAGCAGUUGGAAACGACUGAUAAUACCGCAUAAGCGCACGAGAUCGCAUGAUCUAGUGUGAAAAACUCCGGUGGUAUGAGAUGGGCCCGCGUCAGAUUAGCUAGUUGGUAAGGUAACGGCUUACCAAGGCGACGAUCUGUAGCCGGACUGAGAGGUCGGACGGCCACAUUGGGACUGAGACACGGCCCAAACUCCUACGGGAGGCAGCAGUGGGGGAUAUUGCACAAUGGAGGAAACUCUGAUGCAGCGACGCCGCGUGAAGUGAAGAAGUAUUUCGGUAUGUAAAGCUCUAUCAGCAGGGAAGAAAGGCUCGUAAGAGAGAUGACGGUACCUGACUAAGAAGCCCCGGCUAACUACGUGCCAGCCGCAGC
RNAcentral lists this ribosomal RNA (507 nucleotides) under uncultured bacterium. RNAcentral describes it as "bacterial SSU rRNA". It matches the Rfam family "Bacterial small subunit ribosomal RNA", at positions 27 to 518 of the family's 1533-position model. The record is from RNAcentral.